UGAAUUUAAUUUGAUCCUCGGAUAAAGAAGAAACCAAGGAUUACGUUGCAACAAUAAAAGUGGAAGUGAAAGCCCCGAGUAGGAAGCCAGCAACGCCGACAUAUUUAUUGUGGAGUGAAUAGGUACAAAUUGAAGUAAAAAAUUACACUUCUCAACAAGACUUUGUUCCUGGCAAUCAAAUCGCUCUAUUCUGAUGGCUUAUAUCCUCAUUUUAAACCUUGUAGGAAUAAGAAGGGGCGACUCCAGCGAUGUCGCAGAAGUCUGAAAAGCUUUGUUUUGCAACCUAUCCGACAUGCUUCACUUGACGAGAUGGAUAUACAAGUCGAGAGUUGUUAUAAAGUUGAGGAAUCUCUUUACUUGGUGGUCAUUUAUAGCCAAGCCAAAUACAAAUACAAGUUGAAUUAAUUGCAGCGUGUGAAAGCAGUAGCACAUUCACGUAAUGUGCCACCAUCUUUGCAAUGCAAAGCACUUCUUUCAGCCAGCUACGGAUAGGCGAAAGAUCGCAAUGUAUGCAAGUCCUUCCUGAUCAUGUAAACAAUAGUUAAUUUAAUCUACAGUCAGUUUUUCAAGACAGUACCUACCACCGAGGAUUGGACAAUUGAUCUGAUUCACUAUGUUCUUUUUUGCAGAAAUGCACAUUUGAAUAUCUUCCUUUUACAUUUUUUGGCGAACUCUGUGAUGUAGUUGGUCUCUGGAAUUCAAUUGAAAUACCUUCCUUCAUUCAUGAUUUAUUGCUUUCAAUGCGUCAAUAUCUUUAUUUCAAUUCUGCCUCUUGUUACCAACGAAGAAGGAGACAAGUUCGGAAAAUCUGCUGGCGAUGGUAUUUGGCUGGACGAAGAAAAAACGUCGCCUUUUUCUAUUUAUCAGUUCUUUUUGAAAAUGCCAGAUUCUGAGGUUGUUAAGAUUUUUCCAGAGCCUGGACUAUCCAAUCUUGAUCUGGCACUAAAAGCUUAAUGAUUAACAACAGAGACUGAUACGAUGAGAAUCAUCACAGCUGGAGGGUUCUAUAUCAAGCAAUAGCGAACUUAAAACUUCGCACUAAGAUCACACUAACUCAUCAGCACUAACAUCACAUACCAUUUCUAUCUAUUAGUUCAAAAUGUUAAAUGUCUCCUUUUUGUUGGCAAUGAUGAGCAUAUGGAUAAAAACAAUUUGUUUAGCUUAUAUCCAUAUUCAAUUUUACAUUAAUUGAAAAUCAUUAAUAAUAAUAUUGUAUUCUUUUUUUUU
Molecule: long non-coding RNA, 1227 nt
Organism: Eupeodes corollae
Lineage: Eukaryota; Metazoa; Arthropoda; Insecta; Diptera; Syrphidae
Exons: 4
Source: RefSeq, a predicted model, not a curated record